GAUCCUGGCUUAGGAUGAACGCUAGCUACAGGCUUAACACAUGCAAGUCGAGGGGCAUCGGGAUCUGUGCUUGCACAGAUUGCCGGCGACCGGCGCACGGGUGAGUAACGCGUAUCCAACCUUCCCUUAGUAGGGCAUAGCCCGUAGAAAUGCGGAUUAAUACCCUAUGUUAUUCGUCGAGGACAUCUGAAGUGAAUCAAAGGUUUACCGCUAAGGGAUGGGGAUGCGUCUGAUUAGGCAGCAGCGGGGUAACGGCCCACCUGGCCUACGAUCAGUAGGGGUUCUGAGAGGAAGGUCCCCCACAUUGGAACUGAGACACGGUCCAAACUCCUACGGGAGGCAGCAGUGAGGAAUAUUGGUCAAUGGGCGAGAGCCUGAACCAGCCAAGUAGCGUGCAGGACGACGGCCCUAUGGGUUGUAAACUGCUUUUAUGCGGGAUUAAAGUUCACUACGUGUAGUGUUUUGUAGGUACCGCAUGAAUAAGGACCGGCUAAUUCCGUGCCAGCCGCUGC
Molecule: ribosomal RNA, 512 nt
Filed under: uncultured bacterium
Lineage: Bacteria
Description: bacterial SSU rRNA
Rfam family: Bacterial small subunit ribosomal RNA
Source: RNAcentral